GGGCUGUCAAAGUGGAAGAACGCAACAUUCUUAAGCACUAGAUCCGGGAAAGGAACACCACAGUGGAUGGCCCCUGAAGUUCUAAGGAGUGAACCUCCGAAUGAUAAGUACAUCUUAUGGAAUCAAUACUUUUGUUGUAACAGGUGUGAUGUGCUCAGCUUUGGAAUCAUCUUAUGGGAGCUAAUGACUACUUUAAUUCCAUGGGACCGUCUAAGCUCUAUCAGGUACCUUAUCAACUUGUGAGAUUAUAGCACAAUAAUAAAGAUUCUAAUCAAGUUUAAAAUAGGUUGUGGGAUUCAUGGACCGACGGUUGGACUUGCCUGAAAGAUUAAAAACUCAGAUCGCAUCCAUAGUAGAAGAUUGUUGGCAAACGUAAGACACGAUAUACAUAUUAUACAUUGUUUCACCAAAUAUUCCCUCAAAUCAUUGGUUAGGGUGUCUAGGGUAUCUAUAACCUUUUUGUGAUACGUUCUUGGAACAGUGAUCCAGCAAAACGACCGUCGUUUGAAGUUAUAAUUAGUAGGAUGAUGAGCCUGUUCUGCAAAGCGGGGUCGAGUGCACAGGAAGAAGAGGAUUGAGAAGGUUAAAAUGGUUCAUGGUCAGAGGAGAUGGUUCACACAAAGCAAAGGACGUCAACAAAAGAAAAACAUACUUUUAUAAAGUUAAUAUAAUAUGGUCAAUGUGAGCACUUACGUUCUUUUUACUCGUGCUGUCCUAAAUGUUUUAUUUUUAUUUCUUUGCCAAACUCGCAAUGUGAGCACAUACUUUUAUAAAGUUAAUAUAAUAUGGUCAAUGUGAGCACAUACUUUUAUAAUGUUAAAUAUAAUAUGGCCUGGAGAGCAGUGCUGGAACCAUCUCCAGUGAGACAGGGAGAGCAGUCAAAGCUCAUUCAAUUUGGUACAAUGUAUUGUCUCUGUGAUCUUGCUGAUGAACAAGGACGUCAAAGUUAGGAAGAUGCUAUAACCAUUCAAGUCAGAAAUUGAUUUGAUUCUGCACAACGUUAUCACAUUGCAGGUGAUCAUUUGUUUUUUUCUCCUACUCUCUUAUCGUUAUAUAUUGCAAAAUUCAUGCUGCUGAUUGAGUUUUUACCUCUUUAAUUUCCUUUGCAGUCCUCUAUCUUGACUGUAGAAGUAAAACAUAUUAUGAAAACCACAGAAAAGCAACUUAGGAUUGCAUCAAAUAGCUUAGUAGGCUGUGCAACUGUGACAGUAUAAUGAUUUUUGGCUCUCGGUUGCAAAAAUGAUAUGUUUUUUCUUUGCUUACUCGGGAAAGCACCAACUUUAAGUUCACAAUUUUCAUAUGUUUCACGGCUCGGACAUGUUCCAUGAGUAGCAGCAUAUCCACACUAAGAGUGCUCCCAAAAGGCCAGGAGAUCAGAAUUUUUUUUUGGUUGUUUCCCCACAAGAUAUAACCAAAUAAAUAAUAAGUAUUUAGUGAAAAGACAUAAUUAAAGUCAACUUAGUUAGUUUGAUAAAAAAACGAAAAAAACAAAAAAAAACUUAUUAAACAAUUUUCAUAACAAAAUAAUAAUUUAGUUAAACGUAUAUUAUAUCAUACAAAAUACAUAAAUUCCAAGAAUAAAUAGGAAUUUUUUCACAAAAUCAAAAAGAAGAGAACUCUAUUUACAAUAUUUUUCUGCAAAUGUCAUCAAACACCCAUGAAAAAAGGGAGUCUCACAUAAAUUUUUUUAUACCAAGUUCAAGCAUAGAUAAAUAAACAGAAAGAUGAUGCAGCCCACAGUAAAUUAUUAAUACAUAAUAAAAAUAAAUAUUUUGCAAAAAUCAGUUCAAAAUAAUAAUAUAACAAAUAAAACCAUAAAUUUACUCAAAAUACUUAAUAGAACUUGUGUUUGGUAAAAAUAUUAGUCAACAAAUACCAAUUUAGUAAAAAAAUACAUAAUAUAAUUCAAAAUAUAACUUCAACAGUAUAUAGAAUUUUUUUAUUAAAAAUCCAUUUACGCUAAUAUAUUUUUUCCGUCUCAUCAAAUCCAUGUUAACGUUAAUAAAAUAAAAAGUCAAUCUCACUUACAUUUCCCAUUUCUGGACAUCAGGUUCAAUUUUUAAAUAAUUAACAAGAAAACUGAUGUAAAAUAGUGAUUAAUACAAAAUCAAAAUAAGAUUUAGCACAAUCAAAAAAAUCACAAGAUCAAACAAAUAAAACAAUAAAAUGUAGUACCAUACCUAUUAGGCUAUUACCAUUAUUGACAAACACUUCUAGAAACAACAAAAUAGCACCACAAUGCUUUUUAUGCACUUUAAAAGAUUCUAUACAAAAAUAAAUAUGGAGAAAUUUUUACGCAUAGCACUAUUUUCUUGAACAAGCGUGUGUUACAGAGUCACAUUGGUUCUAGCAUAGGCCGCACAAGUAUAACUGAAAUGAAUACUUAAUAAAAUAGUAUAAUUUCAUAAAAUAUGUUGAUAACAAAUAAAAAUCUAAACACGUAAGAGUUAUAAACAAAGGUCAAAUGUUAACAAAUAAAUAUAAAAUUCAAAAAAUUAAUAAAUUUAUAAUAAGAUCUUAGAAAACAAAUAUUUAUCAUAUUUAAUUUAAAGUAAUUUUCAAAUGUUCUAUAAAAUUAAAAUAUACUUGAUAUAAAAUGAUUUUGUUGUAAACUUACCCGCCCGUAGGGCGGGCCAACCUCUAGUACUAUUAUAAAAUGUGCAUUUCAUUAGCGUCUAAUUUACAUCUAAUGUAAGUAUGUAAAAUGUGCACUUAUGUGAACAAAAAACUCCAACUAUGACUUUACGAGAUAUUAAUAGCAAGACGUACUAAUAUACUUUUUUUGGUAGGAGCAAGACGUACUAAUAUUUAUCAAUAGACAUCUACGCGUUUUGUACAAGCAUGUUCUUUAUUAAUCUACAUUCUCUCUCGACCUUUCAUCUCAUCUGCGAAAAAAGGACCUUCUCUCUCCUCUAUCUACAUUCUCUCUCGACCUUUCAUCUCAUCUGCGACUGAAUCUUACUCUCCGGCAUACGGACGUCGCGUCAGAGCGCGUGCCAGAGCCGGAGGGAUCUCUUCUCCUCUGUCUCGUCUUCCUCUUUGCUCUAGGUCGUCUCUGCUCUCCCUCUCCCGAUAUGCUUGCUCUUCUAGGUUUGAGCUUGCGUCGCCUGUGGAAGCUUCAGUCGCGAGGAGCCGAUACAAGGUAGGGGUAACUCUUUCUCCGGAAUUGCGGUGAGGGUCCGGCGAAGUAGAGCGAUCUAGAGUCGGCUUUUGAGUUUAUGGAGAGAUUCACUUUUCCCUUUUAUGGAUCUCUCGGGUUCUCUGUCGUCGAGGGGUGGUAGCAAAGGGUCUUGUCACGGGGGCUUCGGCGGUGGUCUGCAGCUGCGGGUCUGUUGCUGGUGCUCGUGCUUGUUCGGUUAUGGUGGUGUUUGCUUAGGAUUUCUUCGGGUCGGAGAGAUUUCGAUGCUUGGCUUGCCGUAACCAAGAGUUCUCUCAGGUUCUUUGAGGGCUUAGGAGACGAGGGUUGAAGGCGGAUGUGAUCGUGGUGAAAGUGUCCGGUCUGAUUUCUUCGUGCGUGUGUUUUCCGGUUCACCUCGAGUGGUCGUCUAUGGCCAUGAGAGGUCUUCUUGUUGCCUCGCAACUCUUUCGAAGCUCCUGCUCCUGGCUUCCUGUUUUGUUCUUCUCCGAGAGUAGGUGACGGCUUCACUCGACGAGUUCAAGUCUCUCGCUCAUCAUCGUCAUAUCACACCCCGUGGCUCAGGGGUUGAUAGUUCUUGAUCAAGAAAUUGGUCCUUUGGUUCUCAAAGGCCUUGGUUGCUUAGGCGGUUCUCGGGGGUCAUUCGCCGCCUCAGAGUCAGCAUCCAGUCGAAGCUCACAUCCCGGCACCGUGGUGAUUGGUCUUGUUCCUUCUACGGUGGUGAGGCUGGCGUUUCUUGCACAGGUUUAGAGACUGCUUUUCAGGAAGUGGCGGUGGAGGCAACUCAUCUUUGUACAAGUUUCGUAGAUGGCGGAAGCGAGUGCUUGCUCGUUUUGGGAUGCGGUCAAAGUGUCGGUGGCGCUUUAUACGAGCUGGCCUUGGUGGCAUUCGCAAGGCAUUGGUAAGUAUCUGAUCUCUCCCCUUCGGUCGUCUUGCGCUUCAUAGACAGAGAAACUUAUGAGCUUGUGGAGAUCAUCGGGAACUAGCUACUCCGGAAACGUCAAGGGAACUCCCGGCAUCCGCAGAAACGCGGAGAACCUCACUUUCCCGAGAAUCACGUUGAUGGUUGAGAACGGCUACCGAUAUCGAAGGAUUUCAAAAAACAUCCUAGCGGAAUGUGCCGGGUUUAGUGGGUGGGCGAAGCUAGGUUUGUAAUAGUCAGAUUUUGAUAAUUUUGUUCAAAACAAGCUUGUAACCGUAUCUGAUUCCCGAUCUUUCGAGCAGAUUUUAUAUAUUAAUAUAAAAAAAAAAAAAAAGCAUGUUCUUUA
This is a long non-coding RNA of Brassica napus (rape), 4404 nucleotides long. RefSeq lists it as uncharacterized. The transcript has 2 exons. The record is from RefSeq and is a predicted model, not a curated record. NCBI's taxonomy places the organism in Eukaryota, Viridiplantae, Streptophyta, Magnoliopsida, Brassicales, Brassicaceae.